UUUUGCUCAUUCUUUAUUCUAAAUCUGCAAAAUAAAAUAAAAAUCAAUGUUGUAGACAAGUGCCAUGUGGUGUAUCAUGACAACUUAUGAUGACAAAGGAUAAUCCAAAAUUGAGCCAUUGUGAUUGUUUUAUUCAAAAUAUAUAUGUUAAAAGAUUGGUAAAAUGCUGGAAAUUUAUCAUAACUCGCAGACAACCUUUAUCAACUGUAACAAUAUCAUUUACAUUUAUAGUAAAAGAAUAACAGUAAAAAAAGCAAAAACUAUUUUACAUGCAUCUCAUCCCAUUUAAACAAUUAUAAUACAUGUAUACAAAUAGAACAAACACACUAAGCACCACAAUAACAUUUACAAAUAAUGUGCUCAAAAAUACAAAUAAACUGUGCUUUAAUCAUUAUGAAAAUAGAGUAACUAUACAAAUAUAUCAUAAGGUAGUAUAAAACUAAGAGUGCAGUAGUUCUAAUCACCUGCAAGAAUGAUAAAUGUGAUGCUACCAAAUAUUCUUCAGGUAUUACAUUUAAUAUUUAUUUCAUAAUAAAUAAAUUUGGUGUUUUUACUGUCUUCUGAUUGGUUAAAAUCAUUAGUUUUAUUUUCAAUGUUGUAAAUUUUGAUGGCGACACGCCCACUCUGACGUUGUGUAUUCAUACGCCAACAUGU
RNAcentral lists this long non-coding RNA (654 nucleotides) under Mytilus galloprovincialis (Mediterranean mussel). Lineage: Eukaryota; Metazoa; Mollusca; Bivalvia; Mytilida; Mytilidae. The record is from RNAcentral.